GACGAACGCUGGCGGUGGGCUUAACACAUGCAAGUCGAACGGCAAGGCCCUGCUUUUGUGGGGUGCUCGAGUGGCGAAGGGGUGAGUAACACGUGAGUAACCUGCCCUUGACUUUGGGAUAACUUCAGGAAACUGGGGCUAAUACCGGACAGGAGCUCCUGCUGCAUGGAGGGGGUUGGAACGUUUCGGCGGUUGCGGCUGGACUCGCGGCUUACCAGCUUGUUGGUGGGCUAGGGGCUUACCAAGGCAUUGACGGGUAGCCGGCUCGUGAGGGUGACCGGCCACCUUGGGCCUGAGAUACGGCCCAGACGCCUACGGUAGGCAGCAGUGGGAAACAUUACACAACGGGCGGAAGCCUGAUGCAGCGACGCCCCGUGCGGAAUGACGUCUUUUGGGUUGUAAACCGCAGCCGCCUGAGACGAAGCUUGAGUGACGGUAACGGGUAAAGAAGCACCGGCUAACUACGUG
This 468-nucleotide ribosomal RNA is filed under the name uncultured bacterium. Its description in RNAcentral is "partial 16S ribosomal RNA". It matches the Rfam family "Bacterial small subunit ribosomal RNA", at positions 28 to 507 of the family's 1533-position model. The record is from RNAcentral.